Molecule: non-coding RNA, 154 nt
Organism: Macaca mulatta (Rhesus monkey)
Lineage: Eukaryota; Metazoa; Chordata; Mammalia; Primates; Cercopithecidae
Source: RefSeq, a predicted model, not a curated record
GAUGAAAUUUCUGAAAGCAGCGGUAAUGAAAUAUGGGAAAAACCAGUGGUCUAGGAUUGCCUCAUUGCUGCAUAGAAAAUCAGCAAAGCAGUGCAAAGCCAGAUGGUAUGAAUGGCUGGAUCCAAGCAUUAAGAAGACAGAAUGGUCCAGAGAA